Molecule: ribosomal RNA, 253 nt
Filed under: uncultured bacterium
Lineage: Bacteria
Description: partial 16S ribosomal RNA
Rfam family: Bacterial small subunit ribosomal RNA
Source: RNAcentral
GACGAAGGGGGCUAGCGUUGUUCGGAAUUACUGGGCGUAAAGCGUGCGCAGGCGGUGCACCAAGCUCGAUGUGAAAGCCCCGGGCUUAACCUGGGAAUUGCAUUGAGGACUGGUGUGCUCGAGUGCGGCAGAGGGGGGUGGAAUUCCACGUGUAGCAGUGAAAUGCGUAGAGAUGUGGAGGAACACCGAUGGCGAAGGCAGCCCCCUGGGCCGACACUGACGCUCAUGCACGAAAGCGUGGGGAGCAAACAGG